Molecule: ribosomal RNA, 492 nt
Filed under: uncultured bacterium
Lineage: Bacteria
Description: partial 16S ribosomal RNA
Rfam family: Bacterial small subunit ribosomal RNA
Source: RNAcentral
AGUGAACGCUGGCGGUAGGCCUAACACAUGCAAGUCGAACGGCAGCACAGUAAGAGCUUGCUCUUACGGGUGGCGAGUGGCGGACGGGUGAGGAAUACAUCGGAAUCUACUUUUUCGUGGGGGGUAACGUAGGGAAACUUAUGCUAAUACCGCAUACGACCUACGGGUGAAAGCAGGAGAUCUUCGGACCUUGCGCGAUCGAAUGAGCUGAUGUCGGAUUAGCUAGUUGGCGGGGUAAAGGCCCACCAAGGCGACGCUCCGUAGCUGGUCUGAGAGGAUGAUCAGCCACACUGGAACUGAGACACGGUCCAGACUCCUACGGGAGGCAGCAGUGGGGAAUAUUGGACGAUGGGCGCAAGCCUGAUCCAGCCAUGCCGCGUGGGUGAAGAAGGCCUUCGGGUUGUAAAGCCCUUUUGUUGGGAAAGAAAAGCAGCAGGUUAAUACCCCGCUGUUCUGACGGUACCCAAAGAAUAAGCACCGGCUAACUUCGUG